UACGGGGGGGGCAAGCGUUGUUCGGAAUUACUGGGCGUAAAGGGCUCGUAGGCGGCCAACUAAGUCGGAUGUGAAAUCCCCAGGCUUAACCUGGGAACUGCAUCCGAUACUGGAUGGCUUGAAUCCGGGAGAGGGAUGCAGAAUUCCAGGUGUAGCGGUGAAAUGCGUAGAUAUCGGGAAGAACACCUAUGGCGAAGGCAGCUCUCUGGGACGGUACUGACGCUGAGACGCGAAAGCGUGGGGAGCGAACAGG
This 253-nucleotide ribosomal RNA is filed under the name uncultured bacterium. RNAcentral describes it as "partial 16S ribosomal RNA". It matches the Rfam family "Bacterial small subunit ribosomal RNA", at positions 524 to 776 of the family's 1533-position model. The record is from RNAcentral.